CUCCAGACUCCUACGGGAGGCAGCAGUGGGGAAUAUUGGGCAAUGGGCGAAAGCCUGACCCAGCAACGCCGCGUGAAGGAAGAAGGCUUUCGGGUUGUAAACUUCUUUUGACAGGGAAGAGCAGAAGACGGUACCUGUCGAAUAAGCCACGGCUAACUACGUGCCAGCAGCCGCGGUAAUACGUAGGUGGCAAGCGUUAUCCGGAUUUACUGGGUGUAAAGGGCGUGUAGGCGGGAAAGCAAGUCAGAUGUGAAAGCCAUGGGCUCAACCUGUGGCCUGCAUUUGAAACUGUUUUUCUUGAGUACUGGAGAGGCAGACGGAAUUCCUAGUGUAGCGGUGAAAUGCGUAGAUAUUAGGAGGAACACCAGUGGCGAAGGCGGUCUGCUGGACAGCAACUGACGCUGAGGCGCGAAAGCGUGGGGAGCAAACAGGAUUAGAUACCCGUGUAA
This 449-nucleotide ribosomal RNA is filed under the name uncultured bacterium. RNAcentral's name for it is "bacterial SSU rRNA". It matches the Rfam family "Bacterial small subunit ribosomal RNA", at positions 329 to 793 of the family's 1533-position model. The record is from RNAcentral.